UACGGGGGGAGCAAGCGUUGUUCGGAUUUACUGGGCGUAAAGGGCGCGUAGGCGGUCAGCACAAGUCAGUUGUGAAAUCUCCGGGCUUAACUCGGAAAGGUCAACUGAUACUGUGCGACUAGAGUGCGGAAGGGGCAACUGGAAUUCUCGGUGUAGCGGUGAAAUGCGUAGAUAUCGAGAGGAACACCUGCGGCGAAGGCGACUUACUGGACACAUAUUGACGCUGAGGUGCGAAAGCGUGGGGAGCAAACAGG
This 254-nucleotide ribosomal RNA is filed under the name uncultured bacterium. Its description in RNAcentral is "partial 16S ribosomal RNA". It matches the Rfam family "Bacterial small subunit ribosomal RNA", at positions 524 to 776 of the family's 1533-position model. The record is from RNAcentral.